Long non-coding RNA from Lagenorhynchus albirostris (white-beaked dolphin), 1392 nucleotides. RefSeq lists it as uncharacterized. Lineage: Eukaryota; Metazoa; Chordata; Mammalia; Artiodactyla; Delphinidae. The transcript has 3 exons. The record is from RefSeq and is a predicted model, not a curated record.
CCCGGGGCAGAGUGGCUCGUCCGCGGCCUCGCUGCCCCGUCGGGCCCCAUCGGACCCCGCUCCAACCGUCCCCGCUUCGGCCGCCCACCCUCCCCUCGUCCGCGCCGGAAAGGCCGCCUCACCUGCUCGGCAGCGUCCGACUCGGCGGUCGGGGUUCCCGGGAGCGGGGACCCGCGAGCGGAGCGCAUCACGGCCACCGCGGCGAGGCGGCGCCGGCAAUGCAGUCGCGGCUUCCCGGCAGCAGCUUCCCAGCAGCUCCGCUCCUUUCCCGCAGCCGGACCGCCAAAACACCACCCCGUAGCCACCCGCGUCGCGUCACCGGGAGCGGCGGGAGCGCGCACGCCGCGGGGCGGGGCCUGCGCCGCCAUGACUGGCAUCCGAGCGCAGCGCUCUUCCGCGGAACCACGCGGGUGCAGCUGAGCUCAGGGACUGCCGAAAGUGAAAGUGGCAUCACGGAAAUAACCAGUACUGUGGCUUGGUUACCGCCGAUCCUACAGCGCGCUUAUGACACCAAAGGUCCUGAAACAAAAGUCUCUAAAGGCAACACAGCUCCGGGUGGCCCUUGCUUUGACGCGGAGUGAGACUUUGAGAUCUCAAAACCCAAAAAAGGCCUCUCACAGGAAACAUCCUGACCAGACCCACCAGUGAAUGACUACAAGAAAGAAGAAACUAGCACAUUCCCACCAAAGUCUGCCUGGAACCAGGACUUUACCCCCUCCCCUUUUAGUAUAGAAGAAGCCUGAAUUCUAAUUCGGAGAAGGUAGUUCUUUGGGAUACUAGUCCCCCAUCUUCUCCGUCUACUGGCUUUCCUAGUAAAGUCGCUAUUCCUUGCCUCAACAACUUGUCUCUCAGUUUAUCAUCCCAUCCUGGGGUGCACAGCACGAGCUUGGACUCAGUAACGAUGCUAUCAUGAGGUAUUAACCCGCUUGCUUUCCAAAGCAGCUAGUAAGUAUUUACCGGUGCUCACUGAAUAGUGAGUUAAGGACAGGGACAAUCAUUAGAUACUUAGAAUGGUCUUUACCAUUAUUUCCUGGUGACAGGAUUGCCAGCUUUGUGGAGGCACCAUGGUGGGGCUCAAAGAAGUAUCAUCUGCUCUACCUUCCAGAACAACCGUAGCAACCUAAACAUAAAACAUAGAAUAUAAAUCAACUACUUCUGUUCUAAUAAUUCUGACAUGGAAUUGGAAGAGCAGUUGGAGACGUCACUGAAGAGUAGAUGUGAGGCUUGAACCAGACCUUAAAAGAGAGAAAGAAAUGAUCAAAUGAGAGGUAGACAUGUGGGAUGUACCUGAGGCCUGCAGUUGGAUCCUGCCAUAAACAGCUUGCAUGCUGUUGAAGUAAAUUUGGGGUCCCAUUAAAUAUCUUCUUUUUUUUAUAAAUUUAUUUUUAUUUU